This is a long non-coding RNA of Delphinapterus leucas (beluga whale), 1434 nucleotides long. RefSeq lists it as uncharacterized. The record is from RefSeq and is a predicted model, not a curated record. NCBI's taxonomy places the organism in Eukaryota, Metazoa, Chordata, Mammalia, Artiodactyla, Monodontidae.
CUCAGUCGACGGCAGUGUGGCGUCUGGGACGCUGAGCUCGGCGUCUCUGCUGACAGGAACUUGGUCUCCUCAGGACUCGCUGGGGUUUUGGCUUCACGACAACACGGGGCCGUGUCCACGCUGACGGGAGCUGGGUUUCCUGAGGUCGCAGGCGACGCCGGGAGGAAAAGGCUCAGUUCAACUUUCACCAUCUGGCCCAAAGCAUGAAAAUGUUCUUAAAGAAGUUGCCUCACUUUCACAACCUUGAUGGAUUUAAAGCACACAAGGUCAAGGCCUGCAUUAUGGAUCUUACACCUUCCUAGAAAUAUGAAACAUUGGAAUCAUCCUCCUAUUUAAGGCCUAAAAAGAGCUGCUAUCCCAGGACGCCUAAAUUAAAGAAUCCUAAUACCGACAGGACCAGGCCUAUGUUGUGGACAAGAGAGUUCGUUUUCCUGUGUUCAAAGACAGGACAGAGGGAUAUGGAUGAGAUAUGGGGUGAGUCUGGAGCCCAUGGGGGAUGUACUCUCCAAGCUCCAAGAUGGGAAUGGGGCCUCGGGGGUCCCAGGCCACCCGGCGUGCCCUCCCGAGCAGGAUCUUGGCAACAUUCCCUGUCAGUGAUGAGGCGGCCUGAGCACCUGUCACGGCCCCAAUGCUGUGACCUAUGUGGGCCCCAAGCUCUUGGGACCACACCCCACACUCUGUGGGUCAGCCCUGUAGGAUCUUCCCUGCCACAGGAGCAGCGACCACCCAGCAAGCAGGCCCCUCCCAGGAGCCCAGGACAGCAAUGACGCAGAUGAGGCAGAGCCCAAGAAAUGGGACCAGAGGGCCCAACAGGCAGCUGGUCAGGUCCCGGCUCAUCUGCACCCUGGACACCCUUGUCCCUCGUACACCCCCUUCCUCAUACAGCCUCCCGAAAUACAGAUUCUUCAGAUGCAAAGAGGCAGAGCUUCAGACUGAAAGUCAGCUCUUCCAAAAUGACCCAUCAGCGAACACUGCAGGAUUCCACUCAGAUGGGGCCCCUGGUGUCGACAACUCAUGGACCAAAGUGGACGUCGGUGCCGGGGCUGUCGGAAGGGGUGGGGAGUGGAACGUUGUGGAAUUUGGUUUGGCAAGAUGAAAAGUUCUAGGGAUGGUGGUGAUGGCUCCACAAGAAGGUGAAUAAAUCUGAUGCCUCAGAAACGUGCACUUAAAAUGGUGAAGGGUAUGUGACGUGUGUUAUUCUGCUUAAAAUAAAUUUUAAAAAUGAUUUCUUGUUAAUUGAGAUUCCAUUUCGACUCCCCUUCAUCACAAAUGUCGGAGGCCCAAACAUAGUCCCCCACCUUAGGGACCAUCAUGGUACCCGCACAGAGCACAUGGGGGACCAUUCUUAGGGGGAGCUAGUCUGUGCUCACCUGAGCUUUGUCCAGGGGGACCCAGGCAGUGGUGACCCCCAUGGAUUAGAUACAUGGUAUGCUA